This 414-nucleotide long non-coding RNA is filed under the name Hordeum vulgare. RNAcentral describes it as "long non-coding RNA (HVUL_LNC003514)". Lineage: Eukaryota; Viridiplantae; Streptophyta; Magnoliopsida; Poales; Poaceae. The record is from RNAcentral.
UGUUUGUUUAUUUGAUCUUACCCGGUUGUGAGACGGGACGUGAAGUCAACCAAGUACAUGUGUGUUCAUAGUGUCCCCGGCACCUUCCUCCUAGCUGAGUAUGGAUGCUGAAGUUAGCUGGAGUGUGGGGCGAGUGCGUGGUAGAUGGAACUCCUAUUUACCGCAUUUCUUCUUGCACUUCCAACUUGAAGAGGAAGAAGCAUCUCUCUUUGCAUCUUCAAUAGAUAGGAAAAAGGAUCUUGACCUGAAGCCUUCGACCAAAGAAAGGGAGACUUGGCGAAGUCAGAGGUGGUUUUCCUUCCCUAGAUUCAUGGAAGGACUUUUUGAAGUUUGAGUGAGGAAGGAAAGUAAGGAAAGCGGGAAAGGUCCGAUACAAAGGAAAGGGUUGCGAGGCUUAACGAUUUAGAAUAUAGC